This 447-nucleotide ribosomal RNA is filed under the name uncultured bacterium. RNAcentral's name for it is "bacterial SSU rRNA". It matches the Rfam family "Bacterial small subunit ribosomal RNA", at positions 355 to 825 of the family's 1533-position model. The record is from RNAcentral.
UAACGAAUCUUCCGCAAUGGGCGAAAGCCUGACGGAGCAAUGCCGCGUGUGGGAUGAAGCGCCUUCGGCGUGUAAACCACUGUCAGGGAAUGGAACCAAUGAUUAUUCCCAAAGGAAGUGGCGACUAACUCUGUGCCAGCAGUCGCGGUAAUACAGAGGCCACAAGCGUUAGUCGGAAUCACUGGGCUUAAAGGGUGCGUAGGCGGGCCCGCAAGCGCUUUGUGAAAUCCCCCGGCUCAACCGGGGAACUGCAGGGCGAACUGCGGAUCUUGAGGAAACUAGAGGCCGGUAGAACGAUUGGUGGAGCGGUGGAAUGCGUAGAUAUCAAUCGGAAUGCCAAAAGUGAAGACAGCCGGCUGGGGUUUUCCUGACGCUGAGGCACGAAAGCGUGGGGAGCAAACCGGAUUAGAUACCCAAGUAGUCCCUGAGCGGGCUGGCAAGGCGCAU